UUCCGGUUGAUCCUGCCGGAGGUCACUGCUAUUGGGGUCCGGCUAAGCCAUGCGAGCGGAGGGUGCGGUCGAAAGAUCGUGGCCCCGCACACGGCUCAGUAACACGUAGUCAACCUACCCUUGGGACGGGGACAACCUCGGGAAACUGAGGCUAAUCCCCGAUAGGCGGGGGACGCUGGGAUGCCUCCUCGCCCAAAGCUCCGGCGCCCGAGGAUGGGACUGCGGCCUAUCAGGCUGUUGGUGGUGUAACGGACCACCAAACCUACGACGGGUACGGGCGAUGGGAGUCGGAGCCUGGAGAUGGGGACUGAGACAAGGCCCCAGGCCCUACGGGGCGCAGCAGGCGCGAAAACUCCGCAAUGCGCGCAAGCGUGACGGGGGGACCCCAAGUGCCGUUGGUCUUUCGAUCGACGGUUUUUAGGAAGUCUAAGCAGCUUCCAGAAUAAGGGCUGGGCAAGACUGGUGCCAGCCGCCGCGGUAACACCAGCAGCCCAAGUGGUGGCCACGAUUAUUGGGCCUAAAGCGCUCGUAGCCGGAUCAAUAAGUCCCUUGUGAAAUCGGGCCGCCCAACGGUUCGGCGUGCAAGGGAUACUGUUGGUCUUGAGGCCGGGAGAGGUCGGAGGUACUCCUGGGGUAGCGGUGAAAUGCUCUAAUCCUAGGGGGACCACCAGUGGCGAAGGCGUCCGACCAGAACGGACCUGACGGUGAGGGGCGAAGGCUAGGGGAGCGAACGGGAUUAGAUACCCCGGUAGUCCUAGCUGUAAAGCAUGCGGGCCAGGUGUCUAGCGCUCCUUGAGGGCGCUAUGUGCCGGAGGGAAGCCGUUAAGCCCGCCGCCUGGGAAGUACGGUCGCAAGGCUGAAACUUAAAGAAAUUGGCGGGGGAGCACCACAAGAGGUGGGACCUGCGGUUCAAUUGGAUUCAACGCCGGA
RNAcentral lists this ribosomal RNA (930 nucleotides) under uncultured archaeon. RNAcentral describes it as "bacterial SSU rRNA". It matches the Rfam family "Archaeal small subunit ribosomal RNA", at positions 1 to 922 of the family's 1478-position model. The record is from RNAcentral.